This 263-nucleotide ribosomal RNA is filed under the name uncultured archaeon. RNAcentral's name for it is "partial 16S ribosomal RNA". It matches the Rfam family "Archaeal small subunit ribosomal RNA", at positions 748 to 1010 of the family's 1478-position model. The record is from RNAcentral.
CAGCCGUAAACGAUGUGCGUUAGGUGUAUCGACGACCACGAGUCGUCGAGGUGCCGAAGGGAAACCGUGAAACGUACCGCCUGGGAAGUACGGUCGCAAGGCUGAAACUUAAAGGAAUUGGCGGGGGAGCACCACAACAGGUGGAGCCUGCGGUUUAAUUGGACUCAACGCCGGAAAUCUCACCGGAUAAGACAGCGGAAUGAUUGCCGGGCUGAAGACUCUGCAUGACUAGCUGAGAGGUGGUGCAUGGCGUCAGUGACUGU